AUUGAACGCUGGCGGCAUGCUUUACGCAUGCAAGUCGAACGGUAACAGGUUAAGCUGACGAGUGGCGAACGGGUGAGUAAUGCAUCGGAACGUGCCCGGUCGUGGGGGAUAACGCAGCGAAAGCUGCGCUAAUACCGCAUACGAUCUGAGGAUGAAAGCGGAGGACCGUAAGGCCUCGCGCGAUCGGAGCGGCCGAUGUCAGAUUAGGUAGUUGGUGGGGUAAAGGCUCACCAAGCCAACGAUCUGUAGCUGGUCUGAGAGGACGACCAGCCACACUGGUACUGAGACACGGCCCAGACUCCUACGGGAGGCAGCAGUGGGGAAUUUUGGACAAUGGGCGAAAGCCUGAUCCAGCAAUGCCGCGUGCAGGAAGAAGGCCUUCGGGUUGUAAACUGCUUUUGUACGGGGCGAAAAGGUCUCCUCUAAUACAGGGGGCUCAUGACGGUACCGUAAGAAUAAGCACCGGCUAACUACGUGCCAGCCGCCGCCGUAA
This 493-nucleotide ribosomal RNA is filed under the name uncultured bacterium. RNAcentral's name for it is "partial 16S ribosomal RNA". It matches the Rfam family "Bacterial small subunit ribosomal RNA", at positions 30 to 523 of the family's 1533-position model. The record is from RNAcentral.